AUGGGCGUCAUAGUCACGGACCACUGCAAUGGGCUCUUGCUUUGCCGCGGUCUGAGCCACGAGUGCGACAAUGCACUGCCGCGCGAUUAUGUCGUGAACCCGGCCACGCGUCGGUGGGCGCGUCUGCCCCAACGUCCUGGGUCAAACGUGUUGGGAUUGGAUCAAUGUGCCUACCUUGCGUUUGAACCGACCCUGUCGACACACUAUGAGGUAUUUUUGGUUCCAUGUGUGCUAGCUGCCGGUGAAUCGCACAGUGAUCAUGAUGAUGGGUUGCUUGAAUCGGAGUGGCCUCCGGAGUUAUACGCCAUCCAUGUGUUCUCAUCGGCGACUCAACAGUGGGACACGAGGAUCUUCAUUCGAGAAGGGGAGGCUGCAGGGCUCGUCCGCAACAUGCAUUCGGAUUUGUGGUAUAAUCUAUAUCAUUAUCAUGCCGUCUACUCGCGAAGCACGCUCUACAUUCAUUGCGAGCAUGGCUAUCUCAUGAGAAUGUGUUUGUCAGAUGACACGUACAGAGUAAUUAAACUACCAGAUGUCAGUGAACUUCCACUGAAAGGAUAUCCUGAACACCAUUUGGGUAGAUCACUGAGAGGGGUGUAUUGCGCAGUAUCUCAUAAGAGGAGUCCGCUUCUUCAGGUUUGGCAUCUCAAUGAAUCGUGCAGUCAAAUAGAUAGGGUGCUAAACCAUGAUACCACUCUUAAGACCUUUGAACAUGAGGACUAUGCUCAACAAAUGGGUAGACAAUGGAUCUUACAGGAUGUUAACUACCGUAAGUCGUUGCCUGAGCAUAAUGGUAAUACAUAUGAAAUUAACAGAGCGACAGUGGAAUAG
RNAcentral lists this ribosomal RNA (828 nucleotides) under Triticum aestivum (bread wheat). RNAcentral's name for it is "partial small subunit ribosomal RNA". The record is from RNAcentral. Lineage: Eukaryota; Viridiplantae; Streptophyta; Magnoliopsida; Poales; Poaceae.